Molecule: ribosomal RNA, 429 nt
Filed under: Chloroflexota bacterium
Lineage: Bacteria; Bacillati; Chloroflexota
Description: Chloroflexi bacterium partial 16S ribosomal RNA
Rfam family: Bacterial small subunit ribosomal RNA
Source: RNAcentral
UGGGGAAUAUUGCACAAUGGGCGCAAGCUUGAUGCAGCCAUGCCGCGUGUGUGAAGAAGGCCUUCGGGUUGUAAAGUACUUUCAGCGGGGAGGAAGGCGAUAAGGUUAAUAACCUUGUCGAUUGACGUUACCCGCAGAAGAAGCACCGGCUAACUCCGUGCCAGCAGCCGCGGUAAUACGGAGGGUGCAAGCGUUAAUCGGAAUUACUGGGCGUAAAGCGCACGCAGGCGGUUUGUUAAGUCAGAUGUGAAAUCCCCGGGCUCAACCUGGGAACUGCAGCUGAUACUGGCAAGCUUGAGUCUCGUAGAGGGGGGUAGAAUUCCAGGUGUAGCGGUGAAAUGCGUAGAGAUCUGGAGGAAUACCGGUGGCGAAGGCGGCCCCCUGGACGAAGACUGACGCUCAGGUGCGAAAGCGUGGGGAGCAAACAGG